CAACAACACAUGUUGUUCCCUGGUGGUCAUCCUCCCAAGUACUGACCGCGCCCGAUGCUGCUUAACGGCGAUGAUCAGACGAGAACCCGUGCUUUCAGCAUGGUAUGGCCGUU
Molecule: ribosomal RNA, 113 nt
Filed under: Araneus ventricosus
Lineage: Eukaryota; Metazoa; Arthropoda; Arachnida; Araneae; Araneidae
Source: RNAcentral